UUAGGAUAAAAUAGUGCAUUUUUGGUCCUUAACAACAACUUUCUUUAAUACGUCUAUGACGCCAUGUUUGGUAUCAUUCUCUACGUCUGUAAAGCACCUAUCUUGUUGACCUACUUUUAUAUUUAUUUUUGUACCACACUGAACCAGAAAAUAAAUUUGAAAUACGUCACUGAUUUGUAAAGUCUCUAAUUUCAUUGGUCACAAUAAAAUAGGUUAGCUAUUUUUAGUAAAUGACACAAUUAUCGGGUCUACCAAGGACCACAAUGCACCCCAACGUGUUUACUUUUGUCCGCCAUCUUGAAUUAUCUGACUGCUCAGUUCAUGCAUAUUUUCAAGCUGUUUUUAUAUUUUUCUUAUCAAUUGAGUUAGAGUUCAUCUUCUUUACCAAUCAAGAGAACUAUUCUAAGAAAAUGGUACUCAGAAGGCAAGCUACAGUACAGUUCGUUCUACAAUAUUCAGGCAAAGGGAAGAUCGAUGGCUGCCUGGUCGUGUCAGAUGCAAACUGAAAUGUUGCUGGGUGGUUUCGAUGGGUGUCAGGUUCAAACCCUGCCCACUAACCUCCACCUUCAUCCUGUCAUGCUAGGAUGUAAUAUAUAUUCUUCAAAGCGGAAGAAACAUCCAAAUCAUGUGCACACAAGAUCUGCUAAACUAUCAAAGAAAGUUUGGCUUCAAGAAGUAGCAAAAAACAGAUGUCAGAAAACAAAAAACAAACUGGAUAUAUGGUCGCUACUGAGAAUUCCAGGUCUCUGUCUACUGGAAAACUAGUCCACAAAUUUUUUGAAGCUGGUUCACAAGAGCAAGCUAAAGUACUAUCAUCUUCAUGUGUACUUAUUAGCAUAACCACAGAGAUGGCCUUUUGUGGUGUCAAGCAAGGCAGCGCCCCCCCCCCCCCAGGCCUCAUGCCUUUGUGGGUGGAGGGAGACGUGAUAAAGAAAAUCUUUUGUCACUGCCAGCUCUGCGUACAAAUAUGUGGCACUGAUAUGACACUCACUCAUAGCCCUCACACUGCUAAGGCUGCUUCUCCUAACCAACCCGUUUUCCUUGAUUGACCUGAUUGGAUUGAAAUUUGGUAUUUUUUAAAAUAGCAUUGAGCCUAUAAACAAAAGGGCUCAUUCGGUAUAUGUAUGUACUUAAUUAAAGAUGUGAUACCUUAUGCCACCACUUUAACUUCAAAGACACUUCCAGAUUUCAAACAUUAUGAAAAAAACACUUGGUGGCAUCUUUUUUGAACAUUGAUUUGUGAUUAAUAUUCCAUAAAAAUGGUUUGAAUUUUUUUAUUGGGGGGGGGGGGGGGUUAAAUUGUAAACCAUUUAUCUCCAAAUUUAUAUUUUCAUUUUUUAAAACUUGUAACAUCUGAGCAAAUGGCAUUUCUUUUAAAAUAAUAUACUUUUAUAUGACCUAAGCUGUUGAAAUAAAUAUUUAUUUUGCUUUUAA
Molecule: long non-coding RNA, 1434 nt
Organism: Biomphalaria glabrata
Lineage: Eukaryota; Metazoa; Mollusca; Gastropoda; Planorbidae
Exons: 2
Source: RefSeq, a predicted model, not a curated record